AUUGAACGCUGGCGGCAUGCCUUACACAUGCAAGUCGAACGGCAGCACGGGUGCUUGCACCUGGUGGCGAGUGGCGAACGGGUGAGUAAUACAUCGGAACGUACCUUAUCGUGGGGGAUAACGCAGCGAAAGUUGCGCUAAUACCGCAUACGCCCUGAGGGGGAAGCGGGGGACCGGAAGGCCUCGCCCGGUUAAAGCCGCCGAUGUCUGAUUAGCUUGUUGGUGAGGUAAAAGCUCACCAAGGCGAUGAUCAGUAGCUGGUCUGAGAGGACGAUCAGCCACACUGGGACUGAGACACGGCCCAGACUCCUACGGGAGGCAGCAGUGGGGAAUUUUGGACAAUGGGGGCAACCCUGAUCCAGCAAUGCCGCGUGAGUGAAGAAGGCCUUCGGGUUGUAAAGCUCUUUUGUCAGGGAAGAAACAGCAGCUCUAACACAGUCUGCGAAUGACGGUACCUGAAGAAUAAGCACCGGCUAACUACGUGCCAGCCGCCGCAGUAA
This 500-nucleotide ribosomal RNA is filed under the name uncultured bacterium. RNAcentral describes it as "partial 16S ribosomal RNA". It matches the Rfam family "Bacterial small subunit ribosomal RNA", at positions 30 to 523 of the family's 1533-position model. The record is from RNAcentral.